This 482-nucleotide ribosomal RNA is filed under the name uncultured bacterium. RNAcentral's name for it is "partial 16S ribosomal RNA". It matches the Rfam family "Bacterial small subunit ribosomal RNA", at positions 30 to 507 of the family's 1533-position model. The record is from RNAcentral.
AUUGAACGCUGGCGGCAUGCCUUACACAUGCAAGUCGAACGGUAACAGGACUUCGGUUGCUGACGAGUGUCGAACGGGUGCGUAAUACAUCGGAACGUGCCCGAUCGCGGGGGAUAACGAGGCGAAUGCUUUGCUAAUACCGCAUACGAUCUACGAAUGAAAGCGGGGGAUCUUCGGACCGCGCGCGGACGGUGCGGCCGAUGGCAGAUUAGGUAGUUGGUGGGAUAAAAGCUUACCAAGCCGACGAUCUGUAGCUGGUCUGAGAGGAUGAUCAGCCACGCUGGGACUGAGACACGGCCCAGACUCCUACGGGAGGCAGCAGUGGGGAAUUUUGGACAAUGGGCGAAAGCCUGAUCCAGCCAUGCCGCGUGCAGGAUGAAGGCCUUUGGAUUGUAAACUGCUUUUGUAAGGAACGAAAAGCCUCUUUCUAAUAAAGAGGGGUCAUGACGGUACCGUAAGAAUAAGCACCGGCUAACUACGUG